Molecule: ribosomal RNA, 774 nt
Filed under: uncultured Neocallimastigales
Lineage: Eukaryota; Fungi; Neocallimastigomycota; Neocallimastigomycetes; Neocallimastigales
Description: partial large subunit ribosomal RNA
Rfam family: Eukaryotic large subunit ribosomal RNA
Source: RNAcentral
GUGUAUCAGUACAUGGCAUAUCAAUAAGCGGAGGAAAAGAAACUAACAAGGAUUCCCUUAGUAACGGCGAGUGAAGCGGGGAGAGCUCAAAUUUGAAAUCUUCAAGGUUCUACCUUGACGAAUUGUAGUUUAUAGAAGUGUUUUCUGUUAGUAGAGUGGCAAAAGUUCUUUGGAAUAGGACAUCAUAGAGGGUGAGAAUCCCGUAUUUGGUCAUUCUUUCUAGCUUUGUGAUACACUUUCAACGAGUCGGAUUGUUUGGGAAUGCAGUCCAAAAUGGGUGGUAAAUUUCAUCUAAAGCUAAAUAUUGGCGAGAGGCCGAUAGCGAACAAGUACCGUGAGGGAAAGAUGAAAAGAACUUUGAAAAGAGAGUUAAACAGUACGUGAAAUUGUCAAAAGGGAAGCGUUUGACACCAGUGUUGUUUUCUCGAAAAUCAAUUAAAAAAGAUUGGAUUUUGUGUUGUAUUGACUUUAUCAGCUUUCUGCACUCUUUUCUUGUCUUUUUUAAUGCACUUUUUGUUUAACAAGUCAACAUCAAUUUCUUUUGUUGUAAAAGAGUCAUUGGAAGGUGGCUUUCAUUUCGGUAGAAAGUGUUUAUAGCCUUUGACCUCUGCAAUCGGAGAGAUUGAGGUCUGCAGCGUAGAUCCUUCGGGGUUAGAUACAUUUGUGCUAAGUUAUAGCUUUUCAUAGACAACUUGUUGACUAUGAUUAGUCAUGUAGCUUACUCGCUUAUGCUAUUUUACCUACGCUUAGGAUGUUGACAGCAGUAUAGACUGU